GAGGAUGGCUGUUGCUAAGGGCCAAAAUAACAAGACCUGCGUGCUUUUAACCGUUAUUUUAACAAUUAAAUUAACGGCUUUUUAAUUGUUAUUUGGAAGUCCAUGAACCGUCAUCCACGGGAAGGAAAAUUCAAGAUACUGGAAAAGUUAAGGGGUCAUAUCAGAAAGAUAUGUUUGAUGAAAUUAACUACAGAAUCAAGAAGUAUAUACUCAAAAAUGCAAAUACUACAAUAUAUAAGACAAUACCGCAACCAAUUGCUCUUCCUUCCCAUUGAAAGAAACCCAGGCUGUACCUGCUCUUUCAUCUCCUGUGUGGAAAACAUCUAUCGGCUGGAAGCCCUGAGUCUUCAUUUUCAAGGAUUUUAGUUGUAAGCUGUUUAAGGCAUAAGCUAAAGUUUCAGGCAGAGGUAAUUUUAGUAGUUAAGCCUGAUUUUUACUUCCACCCUCUGUCCUCCAGGGCUAUAUGGGAAGCUUUCUGUGAGUGGAUAAGCUCUUUAGCUAAGAUGUAAACAUGUUCCCUGCUAUCUGAUAAAGGUUCCUGGAGACUGACACUUUAAAAAAAAAAAAAAAAAGAAAGUGAGGAAAAAAAGAAAAGGAGAAACUGAAUCCAAGGCUUACAAAGGGAUUAGAAAACUGUACCCCAGAUGGAAAAUUUUAUGGGCUCUGGAGAAAAUGUGUAAGUGAAAUAUCGGUAUCAUAAAAUAACAGGAAAUAGUGUAAUCUACCUGAUGGAGAAAAUUGUCACUUUAAAAAAACUAUCCUAAUUUCCUUCAAAAUUGUUCUUGUUUUUGAGCCAAUAAACUUCAGCUAAGCU
Molecule: long non-coding RNA, 814 nt
Organism: Homo sapiens (human)
Lineage: Eukaryota; Metazoa; Chordata; Mammalia; Primates; Hominidae
Product: long intergenic non-protein coding RNA 2869
Source: Ensembl